This 487-nucleotide long non-coding RNA is filed under the name Medicago truncatula (barrel medic). Its description in RNAcentral is "lncRNA gene9071". Lineage: Eukaryota; Viridiplantae; Streptophyta; Magnoliopsida; Fabales; Fabaceae. The record is from RNAcentral.
GGCCACCUUGACCAUGGAUUACUGUCAUGUGUUUGCUAAGCAGUGAUAAGAAUAGUGCAUAAAAGGAUGGUUUUAUUGUGUGACAUGAUGGUUUUAUUGUUCUCUACUUAUAGAGUUAGGGUUAGUGCUUUAAGAAGGGAGAAGAGUAGCCAUCUCUUGAGAGUUGCUCAUUGAGAUUUUGUUGGGUAAAUGCUCAAGCCAAGCCCAAUUUUCGUUUCUGUUCAUGGGUUCUAGAUUGAGUCCUUGCUUAUCACACAUAGAAGUUGAUUUGGGAGCUGUAACCUUGGAGGAAGCUUGAGAAAGGUUAAUACAUGAAUGUCAAAGCUAGAACAGAGGUGUAGAGACAAAAUUUCGUUCAUUUAGAAGGGAUUAGGAGAAUGGAGGUGUUGCUGUACUUUCUGCAUAAUGGGUGUUGUUUCUUCAUCUCUAGAAACCAACAAAACUGUUUUGAUUUCUCAACAAACACUAGAGCUGAUAGUUGUUGCUU